GAAGAAAAUUUAUUUUAGACAUGAAAAUUACAAGCGCAGAACAAUUUGAAACUCUUAUAGCUGAGUUAGAAAAAAGCCCUUGCCUAGCAAAGGGUUUUCAAAAGGGAACAGCUCCAGCUAAUUUUAAACAGCAGUGGGAGGCAAUCAGCAGUAAAUUGAAUGCCCUUGAGCCCCCUUUAAGAGACAGCGAUGGUUGGCAGAAGGUGUGGCGAGAUUACAAAUUUAAAC
This is a long non-coding RNA of Rhagoletis pomonella (apple maggot), 228 nucleotides long. RefSeq lists it as uncharacterized. Lineage: Eukaryota; Metazoa; Arthropoda; Insecta; Diptera; Tephritidae. The transcript has 3 exons. The record is from RefSeq and is a predicted model, not a curated record.